CUUUAAAAAAUGCAUUUAAAAGAAGCCAAAACUAAAAACUAUCAUUAGUUUGAACUAAAAAACCUUUUCCGUUUUACCUCGAAAUUUGGUUAAUAUACGGCCGAGUUGUUAAAAUUUCCACGAAAACUAUACUGAAAAGCUUAAAAAUGUCGUUAUUUUGAAGAGGUGAACAGUUUUUUUUUUUAUUUUGAUGCAGAUCUUUUAUUGAAACACUCGUCUAUAGGGUUAUUUGAUGUUAGAAGUGUUCCAGCUAAAAAAUAAAAAUAAAAUAAUGCGAAUUUCAGAAGGAUUUUCAAUGUGCUUCAGCUUACGAUUAGUGCCGAAUUGAAACAAAAUAUUUUAUUCGGAGCUAAAAUUCCACAUUUUAUUAUCUGCUUGGAAAAGCGGCAAAUUUUCGUCAUGCGGCACCCUAGUGUAGACCCUAGAUUUCUUUUAUAUUUUGCAGACACAUUUACGGGCUGUCCUGAAUGCAAUCAACGAUGGGUGCAACGUUACACACUACUCCCAUUGGAGUUUAAUCGAUAAUUUCGAGUGGAAUAAGGGAUUUACUGAAAAGUUUGGUCUCUAUUACCUGAACAUGACAAGUGAGAAUAAAGAACGUGUUGCCAAAAAUUCGGCGCAUUACUACAGGAGUGUCAUUGAAAGUCGGGAAAUAUCAUCAGGCGACAAUUACGUGUGAAAAGCUGGUGCUACAUGAAUAUUUAUUUAUACAAAAGCAAUAUUUAAAUUACAUAUGCACAUAUGUUUGUACAUAUAUGCAAGCACAUGGAUACGAUUAUUGAAAACUAAGUGGCGCUUUGUUAUUUGAUUAUAAAUAAAUAUGUACCUUUUUGCAUACAUAUGUUUGUAUGUAUGUAUGUACAUACACAUAUUCGUGGACGAAAGUAGUCAAAUUUAGUCGUUAGUAAAGUCAAAUCUAAUUUAGUGGGGCGUAUUUGAAGUAAACUGCAAGGUGAUAAAGUGAAAAAAUAAGUUCUUUAAUACAGAUGGAUAUGUAUGUAAGUAUGUAUGUACGUAUAUCUACAUGGCUACAUAUCUAAAUGUUAAAUAAAGUUACUGACUGAGUUUGAAA
Long non-coding RNA from Rhagoletis pomonella (apple maggot), 1072 nucleotides. RefSeq lists it as uncharacterized. The transcript is spliced from 2 exons. Lineage: Eukaryota; Metazoa; Arthropoda; Insecta; Diptera; Tephritidae. The record is from RefSeq and is a predicted model, not a curated record.